GGCGCCAUCGUCUAACCUGGUUUAGGACAUCAGGUUCUCAACCUGAAGAUCAGGGUUCAAAUCCCUGUGGCGCCA
This 75-nucleotide transfer RNA is filed under the name Pseudomonadota bacterium. RNAcentral describes it as "tRNA-Glu". It matches the Rfam family "tRNA". From Rfam's summary of the family: Transfer RNA (tRNA) molecules are approximately 80 nucleotides in length. Their secondary structure includes four short double-helical elements and three loops (D, anti-codon, and T loops). Lineage: Bacteria; Pseudomonadati; Pseudomonadota. The record is from RNAcentral. RNAcentral also lists the same sequence under 2 other names.